RNAcentral lists this small nucleolar RNA (82 nucleotides) under Otolemur garnettii (small-eared galago). RNAcentral's name for it is "Small nucleolar RNA SNORD113/SNORD114 family". It matches the Rfam family "Small nucleolar RNA SNORD113/SNORD114 family". Rfam says of the family: The imprinted human domain at 14q32 contains two clusters of tandemly repeated small nucleolar RNAs named 14q(I) and 14q(II) snoRNAs. These two clusters are named SNORD113 and SNORD114 respectively in the HGNC approved gene symbol nomenclature. Lineage: Eukaryota; Metazoa; Chordata; Mammalia; Primates; Galagidae. The record is from Rfam by way of RNAcentral.
UGGAUUGAUGAUGACUACUGGCACAUAUGAGUCAUAGACAAUGAAUAUGUAUCUGGUCUUUUGAAAAAAAUAAGUGGUCUGU